CCUACGGGAGGCAGCAGUGGGGAAUAUUGCACAAUGGGGGAAACCCUGAUGCAGCGACGCCGCGUGAGUGAAGAAGUAAUUCGUUAUGUAAAGCUCUAUCAGCAGGGAAGAAAAUGACGGUACCUGAGUCAGAAGCCCCGGCUAACUACGUGCAAGCAGCCGCGGGAAUACGUAGGGGGCCAGCGUUAUCCGGAUUUACUGGGUGUAAAGGGAGCGUAGACGGCAGUGCAAGUCUGGCGUGAAAGGGGGGGGCUCAACCCCCGGACUGCUCUGGAAACUGGACGGCUGGAGUGCAGGAGAGGUAAGUGGAAUUCCUGGUGUAGCGGUGAAAUGCGUAGAUAUUAGGAGGAACCCCGGUGGCGAAGGCAGCUUACUGGACUGUAACUGACGUUGAGGCUCGAAAGCGUGGGGAGCAAACAGGAUUAGAUACCCGAGUAGUC
Molecule: ribosomal RNA, 440 nt
Filed under: uncultured bacterium
Lineage: Bacteria
Description: partial 16S ribosomal RNA
Rfam family: Bacterial small subunit ribosomal RNA
Source: RNAcentral